GAUGUGUUGCCACAAAGGUUAUAUUUCUUCGAUCACUAAAGUAGAAAUCAUCACAAAACUGCUGUACAGGAGUCUGAGCUGUGUGCAUGUGGCCACUGUGCAGGGGGAUCAGGAUGACCUAGUGCCAGUUUUUACCUCCCAGAAGAUCAUGUAGAGCCGAAAGCAUCCUGCACAUCUUGGCAUCCAGAAAGUGACUCUGAUUUCUUUCCAGUACAUCUUCUGUUGCUACAAGCAACGAAAGCCUGCAGCUUAACUCUUGGGUGGACUACAGCCAAAAAGUUGCCUAGUAUCUAGUUCUUAGCAGAAUGCUAUAGCAAGGCAGAUUUUCUCCACCUCCUUUCCAGAUUUCUAGAUUCUAUACAGCAGAUCUCUACAUAGCAGAUCACUCCCUAGCAGGAUUUGGGGAACAAAACUUCUGCCUCAUUGCAUCAGAGCACAAAUCAGUGUUGUUUAGUUAAAUUGUUUUUUGCACAUCAUUUCCAUUUUUGGAAGCUGUUAUCAUCUUGAAAGCACAGAUGGGAGUCUUACUUUUGCUUAGUAUAGUCUGGUAUUUCCCUUUCUCUGCCAGUUACUAACGGUGCCCUGUUGUGUUUGCUCUUGUGGAAAGUACAUGGCUUCAUUAGCGCAGUUACACUGGGCUGCAGUUCUUUGGUGCCAUCUGUGCUGAUUAUCGAUGCUUGGCCUGGAGCCUGAAAUACUGAAGGUUGCAGGAAAACCAUACGACCUUCUGGUGAUUCCUUGGACAGGCUACAAAUUUGGGUCAUCAGAACAGCUACAACAAAUGAAGUUAGUAUAAGUCAAAAUCCCAGACUAAUGUUUGUAUGCUGUCUCGAGUGUGAUGAGCCUGCAGCAGCAUUUUAUUCUACCUUCAACUAACAAUUACUACAAAAGCAAUAAUUCAGCAAAGCAAACAUCUCCAGGCAAGGCAGAUACUCAGCUCCAUUA
This is a long non-coding RNA of Gallus gallus (chicken), 945 nucleotides long. RefSeq lists it as uncharacterized. NCBI's taxonomy places the organism in Eukaryota, Metazoa, Chordata, Aves, Galliformes, Phasianidae. The transcript is spliced from 2 exons. The record is from RefSeq and is a predicted model, not a curated record.